RNAcentral lists this transfer RNA (74 nucleotides) under Crassvirales sp. Its description in RNAcentral is "tRNA-His". It matches the Rfam family "tRNA". Rfam says of the family: Transfer RNA (tRNA) molecules are approximately 80 nucleotides in length. The record is from RNAcentral. Lineage: Duplodnaviria; Heunggongvirae; Uroviricota; Caudoviricetes; Crassvirales.
GUGUUAUUAGCUUAGUUGGUUAAAGCGUUGGGUUGUGGUUCCAAAGAUCAUGGGUUCAAGUCCCAUAUAACACC